Molecule: long non-coding RNA, 321 nt
Organism: Ochotona princeps (American pika)
Lineage: Eukaryota; Metazoa; Chordata; Mammalia; Lagomorpha; Ochotonidae
Exons: 3
Source: RefSeq, a predicted model, not a curated record
UCAGCUUCCAGGCUGGGGACACAGCAGCUACCUCCAGGGGCCACCAGGGGCCAGUGGAGAAGGAGGACCCACCAGCAUCUUCUCCCCUAUCUCAGGCUGUCGCCCUCCGAGACCAGAAGGGAGCUGGGAGGUUUGUCCCCCAGUUUGCAAAAUCCAGGAAGCCGGGGACAGCAGCAGCCAUGGCGCCGAGAAGGCCAGAGGGCGAGUUGGAGGCCCCGGGGGACAGCUGGACACUCAGCCUGGAGAAGCUGUCAGAGCCCAGCACACAGCAGGCGGGGAGCCAGCAGCUGGCUGGGUCUGGACAGGAACCGCAGGGCCUGG